CAUUAAAGAAUACCAGGCCCUCCGGGGCCCCCAUUCUAACCCUUUGCAUACCUAACUUUGUUGCUUUGGCGGUAAAACGUCAGAGGACCGAAACCCUUGAAUCUCUGCUGUCUGAGUACUAUAUAAUAGUUAAAACUUUCAACAACGGAUCUCUUGGUUCUGGCAUCGAUGAAGAACGCAGCGAAAUGCGAUAAGUAAUGUGAAUUGCAGAAUUCAGUGAAUCAUCGAAUCUUUGAACGCACAUUGCGCCCCCUGGCAUUCCGGGGGGCAUGCCUGUUCGAGCGUCAUUACAACCCUCAAGCUCUGCUUGGUAUUGGGCUCCGCCUCUGGGCUGGCCUAAAAAUCAGUGGCGGCACAGUCUGACCUUAAGCGCAGUAAUACUCGUCGCUUGUAGGCUCAGGUUGCGGCUUGCUAAAACAACCCCCACCAUACAAGGUUGAC
This 441-nucleotide ribosomal RNA is filed under the name Rhytismataceae sp. sd3cN2c. RNAcentral describes it as "eukaryotic LSU rRNA". The stretch from base 134 to 287 matches the Rfam family "5.8S ribosomal RNA". The record is from RNAcentral. Lineage: Eukaryota; Fungi; Ascomycota; Leotiomycetes; Rhytismatales.